Molecule: ribosomal RNA, 3215 nt
Filed under: Triticum aestivum (bread wheat)
Lineage: Eukaryota; Viridiplantae; Streptophyta; Magnoliopsida; Poales; Poaceae
Source: RNAcentral
CACCAACCCGCCCACCCUCUCUAAAACUUUCCCCUCUCUCGCUCGUCUCGCCCUCUCCCCUGCACCACUCAUCGUCGCCACCUAUGGCGCCCGAUGUCGCCCAAUUCUGGCACCAUCCGAUGGUGCCCAGCCCACCCACGGCUUCCUCUCGCUAUGCUCUUUAUUAUCCACCGCAUCGAUUUGAUUUACCCCGUAUCAUGUGGUCGCCGACAUCACUUCCACUUUCUAGGGUUUUGGUGGUGGGGUGGACCUCAUCGUCUAUCUCCUGCUCGACCUCGUGGCGGUGGUGAUAGCACGUGUGAGAUGCUCCUCCCCGACAAGGUCGUAGCUGGAUCCCCUUCUUUCCACCGCAGGAUCCGCUCCUCUCCCACGAGGCCGCUGCCGGAUCCCCUCCUCUCCGACAGCAACGCCUACAAAUCCGCUCGUCCUCGACAACAGCAACCAACUUCGAAGUGGCCGAUCCUCUCCCCAUCGCCGCCGCCCAUGAGGAUCCAGGACGACGACUACCACGACUUCGCUGACUUGCGGUCCCUCCUCCUCGAUGGGAGACUCUUCCAUUGAGGAGAUCGAGGAUCUGGCUGGAUUUGUGCGUCUUCGAUCUGAUGCGUUUGUGCACGCAUGUGUUGAAUAGUGUCCUCGGAUCUGGUGUAGGGCGCCAAGGAGAAGAAGCUCAAGGUCAAGGGCUCUGUCAGGAUGGCCACCAAGGUGCUCAACAUCACCACCAGGAAGUCCCCAUAUGGAGAAGGUAGCCACCUCCCUCUGUUUUCCCUUCCACUCGAUCCCAUUUGCUUGGUAGCUCUGCAUAGAAUCUAGUCCAUCUAGUCCUUGACAUGCUCACAGUAGCUCGUCGGUGAUGUGGGUCGCUAUGUUUUUUUGGAUACCUGACUGUUUAGGGAAUUUCUGUGACGAUGAUGAUGUCGUACUGAGCAAAGGAUGUGAAACAUUUAGACGGCUGCGGCCUUUUCGAUCUUUGAUGAUCUAAAAUCGAGCUAUUUAAAACUGAUGCCUAGCAUGCCAUCAAUGUGUUUUUAUUCCUCAUCUAGAGAUGCAACUCUGUGUGUUGGUGUGAUAUAAUGUAGAGGAGUUGGAUGUGAAUCAUUUGUGAGCUGAGCAUAUGAUGUUACAGGGAGAUGCUACUGAGAUUUUACGUCGUUGAAGUAUCUUAAACCGAGCUUCUUAAAACUGAUCUUGGUUGAUCUAGUUCUAGUAUAUUAGUUGGGUGAGAGUCUAUUGUUGUUGGUGUUGUGUAGUCAUUUCUUUUUACGUCGUUGAAGAAUAAAAAAGAUGAGCAUUUCUCCAGCCAAUGUCUGAAGUAGUUGUUGUCGUAUAGUCAGAUGGACUUAUGCAUUUCAUUAGAAGUCUGAUAUAGAUUGGACUAUACUUCUGAAUAGAAUGAAACAUUUCACUUUCGUUUAUAUUUCUUCAAUUCUUUUGAUCGAACAACUCUCUUGAACACAUGUACGUUAGUGCAGUGAUGGCUAAACAACUACAGUAGAUCGACAUUUUUGUAUUUCUCAACCUUGGGUAUUUUGCCAAAAAUAAACCCUUAGAUUUGUUGUCAUUCCUUUGAUAAUAAUUUGUUGUGUCUGUUAAGUAUUUUUUAGGAGUAAUAAACCUGGCUCUUUCAUGUUGCAACCCAACAGCUGCACCCAUGUUUUUCUGCGUACUACACAUAUUUGCUCCACUGCUCUUAGUUUUAACUAGCCAAGGCAAGGAUGACGCCCACCAUCGCUGUUAGAUUUAUUAUCCAUGUUGGACUUUUUUCGUUUAUGCUUGCCCACAAUCUAAAUGUCUGCUCAUGGCAUUAUUUAUCAAACAAGGGAUUGCCACCUGUCCCCAACUUGAUUGAGUUAGGCUUCGGUUUGCACGUCUCUUUCAGCUUGCAGGAUUAGUGUUACUGCAAGUAAUCCACUUUUUUUGUAAUGGAUGGUGGUGACAUUAUUUAAGCCAUUGUAGAGUUUUUGAUAGGGUUAAACAUUUGGAAAGAUAGAUCCAUUUAACCUUGCAGUACCAGUGUCUGCAAGCAUUGGCUAUUGUUAGUAAAAUGUUGAGCUCUUCCUUUAUAUCAUUGUCUUAUUGCUAUCCUUUUUUCAAGGCUGAUGCAGUACCUCGUUUUUCACUCGGACUUGCCUCUUGUUUGUUUCCUUUAUAUCGUUGUCUUAUUGAUAUCCUUUUUUCAAGGCUGAUGUAGUACCUUGUUCUUUUCACUCAGACUUGCCUCUUGUUUGUUAGUUUUGCUGUGAUAUAAUCUUCUAUUAUAAUUGGGUAAUAUUAACUCCCCUGUAGUAGAAUGGAUGGUCGUGGUAGUAGAAUAGUACUCCCUCUGUAAACUAAUAUAAACUAAUAUAAGAGCAUGCUAUUAUAUUAGUUUACAGAGGGAGUACUUUUCUUCGGGUGAAUGUGUUACAGUGUUGUUCAUUGCAUGACUGAUACGUCUCCAAUGUAUCUAUAAUUUUUUAUUGUUCCAUGCUAUUAUAUUACCCGUUUUGGAUGUUUAUGGGCUUUAUUAUAUACUUUUAUAUUAUUUUUGGGACUAACCUAUUAAUCAGAGGCCCAGCCCAAAAUGUUGUUUUAUUGCCUAUUUCAGUGUUUUGAAGAAAAGGAAUAUCAAAUGGAGUCCAAACAGAAUGAAACCUUCGGGAGAUUUAUUUUUGGAACGGAAGCAACCCAGGCGACUUGCAGUAGACGUCAGGGAAGCUUCAAGGAAGCCAUGAGGUAGGGAGGCACGCCCUGCCCCCUUGGGCAUGCCCCCCACCCUCGUGGGCCCCUCGUGGCUCCCCUAACUGACUUCUUUCACCUAUAUAUACCAAUAUACCUAAAAACAUCCGGGAGAACAAUAGAUCGGGAGUUCCGCCGCCAGAAGCAUCCGUAGCCACCGAAAACCAAUCUAGACCCGUUUCGGCACCCUGCCGGAGGGGGGAAUCCCUCUCUGGCGGCCAUCUUCAUCAUCCUGGCGCUCUCCAUGACGAGGAGGGAGUAGUUCAUCCUCGGGGCUGAGGGUAUGUACCAGUAGCUAUGUGUUUGAUCUCUCUUUCUCUCUCGUGUUCUUAAGGUGGUACGAUCUUGAUGUAUUGUGAACUUUGCUAUUAUAGUUGGAUUUUAUGAUGUUUCUCCCCCUCUACUCUCUUGUAAUGGAUUGAGUUUUCCCUUUGAAGUUAUCUUACCGGGUUGAGUCUUUAAGGAUUUCAGAACACUUGAUGUAUGUUUUGUUGGGG